UGGGGAAUAUUGCACAAUGGACGGAAGUCUGAUGCAGCGACGCCGCGUGGGGGAUGAAGGCUUUCGGGUUGUAAACUCCUUUCAGUACAGAAGAAGCUUUAUUGUGACGGUACGUGCAGAAGAAGCGCCGGCUAAUUACGUGCCAGCAGCCGCGGUAAUACGUAGGGCGCGAGCGUUGUCCGGAAUUAUUGGGCGUAAAGAGCUCGUAGGCGGUUGGUCGCGUCUGCUGUGAAAGACCGGGGCUUAACUCCGGGGCUGCAGUGGGUACGGGCAGGCUAGAGUGCGGUAGGGGUAACCGGAAUUCCUGGUGUAGCGGUGGAAUGCGCAGAUAUCAGGAGGAACACCGAUGGCGAAGGCAGGUUACUAGGCCGUUACUAACGCUGAAGAGCGAAAGCAUGGGGAGCGAAGGGG
This 411-nucleotide ribosomal RNA is filed under the name Verrucomicrobiota bacterium. RNAcentral's name for it is "Verrucomicrobia bacterium partial 16S ribosomal RNA". It matches the Rfam family "Bacterial small subunit ribosomal RNA", at positions 355 to 776 of the family's 1533-position model. The record is from RNAcentral. Lineage: Bacteria; Pseudomonadati; Verrucomicrobiota.